AUGAAGCUGGAGUUACUAGUAAUCGCAGAUCAGAAUGCUGCGGUGAAUGCGUUCCCGGGCCUUGUACACACCGCCCGUCACACCAUGAGAGUCGGGAACACCCGAAGUCCGUAGUCUAACUUUCACGAGAGGACGCGGCCGAAGGUGGGUUCGAUAAUUGGGGUGAAGUCGUAACAAGGUAUC
This 183-nucleotide ribosomal RNA is filed under the name uncultured bacterium. RNAcentral describes it as "partial 16S ribosomal RNA". It matches the Rfam family "Bacterial small subunit ribosomal RNA", at positions 1320 to 1500 of the family's 1533-position model. The record is from RNAcentral.